UGGGGGAUAUUGCACAAUGGGCGAAAGCCUGAUGCAGCGACGCCGCGUGGGGGAUGAAGGCUUUCGGGUUGUAAACCUCUUUCGCUAUCGAACAAGGCCCGCUUAGGGUGGGUUGAGGGCAGGUGGAGAAGAAGCGCCGGCUAACUACGUGCCAGCAGCCGCGGUAAUACGUAGGGCGCGAGCGUUGUCCGGAAUUAUGGGGCGUAAAGGGCUUGUAGGCGGCUUGUUGCGCCUGCUGUGAAAACGCGGGGCUUAACUUCGCGCGUGCAGUGGGUACGGGCAGGCUUGAGUGUGGUAGGGGUGACUGGAAUUCCAGGUGUAGCGGUGGAAUGCGCAGAUAUCUGGAGGAACACCGAUGGCGAAGGCAGGUCACUGGGCCAUUACUGACGCUGAGGAGCGAAAGCAUGGGUAGCGAACAGG
This 420-nucleotide ribosomal RNA is filed under the name bacterium. RNAcentral describes it as "partial 16S ribosomal RNA". It matches the Rfam family "Bacterial small subunit ribosomal RNA", at positions 355 to 776 of the family's 1533-position model. The record is from RNAcentral.